RNAcentral lists this ribosomal RNA (253 nucleotides) under uncultured bacterium. RNAcentral's name for it is "partial 16S ribosomal RNA". It matches the Rfam family "Bacterial small subunit ribosomal RNA", at positions 524 to 776 of the family's 1533-position model. The record is from RNAcentral.
UACGUAGGGCGCAAGCGUUGUCCGGAAUUAUUAGGCGUAAAGAGCUCGUAGGCGGUUUGUCGCGUCUGGUGUGAAAACUCGAGGCUCAACCUCGAGCUUGCAUCGGGUACGGGCAGACUAGAGUGCGGUAGGGGAGACUGGAAUUCCUGGUGUAGCGGUGGAAUGCGCAGAUAUCAGGAGGAACACCGAUGGCGAAGGCAGGUCUCUGGGCCGCAACUGACGCUGAGGAGCGAAAGCAUGGGGAGCGAACAGG